UGAUCGAAUGGGAGAACAGUGCUGUG
This 26-nucleotide non-coding RNA is filed under the name Homo sapiens (human). The record is from RNAcentral. Lineage: Eukaryota; Metazoa; Chordata; Mammalia; Primates; Hominidae.